GCUCCUGUAGUGUAGUACGGCCAAUCAUACUGGCCUUUCGAGCCAGUGACCCGGGUUCGAAUCCCGGCGGGAGCA
RNAcentral lists this transfer RNA (75 nucleotides) under Candidatus Altarchaeota archaeon. RNAcentral describes it as "tRNA-Glu". It matches the Rfam family "tRNA". From Rfam's summary of the family: Transfer RNA (tRNA) molecules are approximately 80 nucleotides in length. Their secondary structure includes four short double-helical elements and three loops (D, anti-codon, and T loops). The record is from RNAcentral. Lineage: Archaea; Nanobdellati; Candidatus Altarchaeota.